This 468-nucleotide ribosomal RNA is filed under the name uncultured bacterium. Its description in RNAcentral is "partial 16S ribosomal RNA". It matches the Rfam family "Bacterial small subunit ribosomal RNA", at positions 28 to 507 of the family's 1533-position model. The record is from RNAcentral.
GAUGAACGCUGGCGGCGUGCUUAACACAUGCAAGUCGAACGGAAAGGCCCAAGCUUGCUUGGGUACUCGAGUGGCGAACGGGUGAGUAACACGUGGGUGAUCUGCCCUGCACUUCGGGAUAAGCCUGGGAAACUGGGUCUAAUACCGGAUAGGACCACGUCUUGCAUGUUGUGGUGGGAAGUUUUUUGGGUGUGGGAUGAGGUCUCGGCGUAUCAGCUUGUGGGUGGGGUGUUGGCCUACAAAGGCGCCGACGCGGAGCCGGCCUGAGAGGGUGUACGGCCACAUUGGGAGUGAGAGACGGCCCAGACACCUACGGGAGGCAGCAGUGGGGAAUAUUGCACAAUGGGGGCGAGCCUGAGGCAGAGACGCGGCGUGUGGGAUGACGGCCUUCGGGUUGUAAACACCGUUCGCGAGGGACGAAGCGUGUUUGUGACGGUACCUGGAGAAGAAGCACCGGCUAACUACGUG